CCGAGUUUACAACUCCCAAGCCCCUGUGAACAUACCACUUGUUGCCUCGGGCGGAUCAGCCCGCUCCCGGUAAAAACGGGACGGCCCGCCAGAGGACCCCUAAACUCUGUUUCUAUAUGUAACUUCUGAGUAAAACCAUAAAUAAAUCA
Molecule: unclassified non-coding RNA, 149 nt
Filed under: soil metagenome
Description: partial internal transcribed spacer 1
Source: RNAcentral